AGAAAAGGUAGAGGUCGCGCGACCUAAGAGUACCCGCCGGAUGCCGCAGGGGCAGAGGAAGGCGGAGGAAAGGGGGAAGCGCCGAAGGAGUGGGCUGCCUGCCGGCGUACUUCUGGGCAUAGGGUUAAGAGCCCUGUGACUGUCAUCCGGACGGAUGGAGAGCUACUGAUCAG
Molecule: regulatory RNA element, 173 nt
Organism: Lachnoclostridium sp. An14
Lineage: Bacteria; Bacillati; Bacillota; Clostridia; Lachnospirales; Lachnospiraceae
Rfam family: Lysine riboswitch aptamer
About the family: Riboswitches are metabolite binding domains within certain messenger RNAs that serve as precision sensors for their corresponding targets. Allosteric rearrangement of mRNA structure is mediated by ligand binding, and this results in modulation of gene expression.
Source: Rfam